RNAcentral lists this ribosomal RNA (464 nucleotides) under uncultured bacterium. RNAcentral describes it as "partial 16S ribosomal RNA". It matches the Rfam family "Bacterial small subunit ribosomal RNA", at positions 38 to 506 of the family's 1533-position model. The record is from RNAcentral.
GGGGGGGGGGGGGGGGGGGGGUGGCAGGUGGAGGGCGGGCGGGAAAGCUCCUGGUUGCAUGCGUACUGGCGUGGCGAGGGGGGGGGUCGCGAGUGGGUGCUGUGGAGUGCAGUUCGGGAUAAGCCUUGGAACGUGAGUGUGAUCCCGUCUUGGGCGACAUAUUGUGUGGUGUGUUGGAAAGGUGUUCGGUGUGGGCUGAGCUCGCGGUCUAUCAGCUUAUUGGUGUGGUAAUGGCCUACGCAGGCGUCGACGGCUAGCCGGCAUGAGAGGUUGUACGGCCACAUUGGGACUGAGAUGCGGCCCAGACUCCUACUGGAGGCAGCAGUGGGGAAUAUUGCACAAUGGGCGCAAGCCUGAUGCAGCGACGCCGCGUGGGGGAUGACGGCCUUCGGGUUGUAAACUCCUUUCGCUAGGGACGAAGCGCAAGUGACGGUACCUGGAGAAGAAGCACCGGCUAACUACGU